UCUGGGGUGGUGGAACUGGUAGACACGCACGAUUGUUUCUCGUGUGCUUAAAAAGCGUGUAGGUUCGACUCCUACCCCCAGAGCCA
This 86-nucleotide transfer RNA is filed under the name Flavobacteriaceae bacterium. Its description in RNAcentral is "tRNA-Asn". It matches the Rfam family "tRNA". Rfam says of the family: Transfer RNA (tRNA) molecules are approximately 80 nucleotides in length. Lineage: Bacteria; Pseudomonadati; Bacteroidota; Flavobacteriia; Flavobacteriales; Flavobacteriaceae. The record is from RNAcentral.